UUGGGUUUUGCUGUCUUCAUUUUAAAAGCACUGGAUUUUGGCUGUGGUAAGCAUUGAGUAACUUUUAGGUCACCUCAAAGCCUUUUGUAAAUUUUGCCUGUCAAGAUCUAGGGGUACUUUUUUUUAACUUUUUAUUGAUUUUUUUUGUGACUUUCACAUCAUGUACCCCAGUCCCACUCAUCUCCCUGACCCCUUGUAUCUGCCUCCUGCCCUUGCAAUCUUCCUCCCUCCACCAAAAUAAUAAAAACCACACAAACAAAGCAAAAUAAAACAUAGAAAACAUCUUGUCAUGGAAGCUGUAGUGUAUCACAGAGUGUCCCCACAACAUACUCCUCUGUCCACAGAUCUUCACUUGUGAAUGUUCAUUGCAAUGAGUCAUUGGUCUAGUUCAAGGUCUUUGGUUUCUGUGAAACCAUCAGUAUUGAAUCCUCAUUGGGCCUGAUUAUCCUUUUGUUGCCCUGUGUCAUGGAAAUCCUGCAAUUUUGAAUCAACAGGACUGACACUCAACAGUUCACAGAUAAUGCAGAUUUGGGGUGGGCUAUAUCAAGGCCCUAGAUCUGGGCCUGGGUGGUAGCUGGGCUGGUCAGCCCACUGGCCCUGGAUCUGGGACUGGGUGGUAGCUAGGCUGGUAGGUCGCUGGCUCUCCCUUAUCUGUACCACCAGGGCACGCUCUUGAGUACUGUUCUGGCUAGGCUGCCCAAUGCUGUCAUCAACAGGAGGCAGGGCCAGCUCUUGCUCACUCUCACCCUCUGGCCGGGCUCUCACACACCCCACACUCCCAGCCCCCACACCCAUUGGGAGGGCCGGCUCUCCUGUUCUCCUGCUCUGUCCACCCCGGGGCAGCUCUUAGACUGUGCUGGGGACAGUGGUUUAAGGGCACUGACUUUCAUCUCCCUUGGCAUCUCUGCUGUUGCCCUGCCAUUUGCCCUAGGGAGAGCUUUCCACUCAAAUUGCUUGGAGCAUGUGUGCUAUGAGGAUACUUAAGCUGGUCAUUUUUUACUUAGCCUUGUGAGAAAGUCCAUCACAUAGAGCACUUCCAUCAGCAGAGACAUCAGGGUACUGUCACACAGGUUUCGGGACUCUGACAACACAAGUCUUUCUUUCAGAAACUUAACCUGCAAUGUUGGAGCUGGCUCACCCUCCAGAGCACUGGGUCUUGAUGCACAGCCCAUUUUCUAGUGUGUGUGAGCAAUGCCUCAUGUGUGUGAGCAAAUGCCUCAUGUGUGUUGGGUUUUCUAGUUUCUCAUGACAGGAAGUGCUUGUGACUGCAUCGUGACCAAAUCUGUGGGGUCUGGAACUGGCAUUUUAUUGCGAGGCUUGUGUCUUCUAGGGUGUGUAGGGCUGAGCCUCUGAUCAGACUACAGCCGCACUGUCCUCUCAGUGCUAGGUUUUGGUGCUUUGAGCAAUGAAUGAAGGAACAAUAAGGAGAGCAGCUUUCCACAUCUCAGCUGGCAAGAGCAGCCUAAGGAUCUUGGGACACUCCUCAGCCUUCUGUGCCUCCUGGAGUCAGUGGCAGAAUUACACACUUCUAGAAGCUCAUUUUCUCUCAGUUCAUAAACAUCAGAGAGGAAAGGUUUCUCAGACUGGCAGAGUCUGUUCCUCAUUAAUAAAGAACUAAUUAUGUGCUGUUUUCUCCUUAAAGAAAUACUAAAAUAAAUUU
This 1660-nucleotide long non-coding RNA is filed under the name Mus musculus (house mouse). RNAcentral describes it as "long non-coding RNA chr16:13336342-13338002". Lineage: Eukaryota; Metazoa; Chordata; Mammalia; Rodentia; Muridae. The record is from RNAcentral.